This 30-nucleotide non-coding RNA is filed under the name Rattus norvegicus (Norway rat). Lineage: Eukaryota; Metazoa; Chordata; Mammalia; Rodentia; Muridae. The record is from RNAcentral.
GUAGACCUUAAAGACGGAGAAAUCCCCUGU